UUCGGCUUACAGCAUCCGCCGGACCUUCUCCUCUCUCCGCCUACGCGGUGCGAGUAUGCUGUGUGCGCCAGUGCGCCCGCAAGCCCGCAAGUUCGCGCUCCGCCACGCAGCCCAAGCUCUCUCUAGCCGCGCGCUGAUCGGCCACGUUCGUCAGCCGGGCCCCACGCAAAAAGGCAGCGGGGCCGCGCGCGAGCCGACUGGACACGGACACACACGACGGACGAUUUCUUACUGUUAAUUCGAAGACAAACACGAACGAACGGACCGGGCCGGCUUGGCGAGCAACGCGUCUCCAAGACAAGUCUCUUAAGGAAACGAUCAUUCUUAUAUACUAUAUAUACAUAUAAAUAGCAACGUUCUCGCUCGCCGCUCAAGGAAACAGUUCGACGACGUGGUGUGACACGUAAUACGAGUGAAAACAUUCGAAACACGCGCGCUCCGACCUGAUCACACGAGACCUCUUCGAAGAAACGGGCAGUGACUGUGAGGAAACGAACAGGAUAUCACGGACUGCUAUCCAGUGCGCUGUUUUCGUUUGUGAAACACCGUUUACGCACGUCCUCGAACACGUCUUCUUGGGAUCGCCGCGAUCGUACAGAUUGACGAAUGACGACGUAACAGAGAGCUGGCUGGUGCGCGGAUACCGGGACACAAGAGGGGACAGCAUCUUUCAAACCGCCACAGCAACGUUUAUCAAACCAUAAAACUGGUGUGUCGUUGACCAUCCGGAAAACACGGGAUUGGUUGCGCAAAGGGUUGGUUCAGCAUGCGUGCAAUCCAUCAAAGAGUCAAGAGUUGGCCCUCCUUCAAUCGGCGUUCGCAUUCUUCGAGGCGAGCAGGAGCGCGCGCGUGCACGAACGCCGAAAGAAUCGUGCAUAUGCAUAUCGAUCGAUCGGUGGUCGGUCGGUCGGUCGCGUGUUACACGCCUUGCACGAACGAGCUCCAAGUAUAAGUACGUAAUACGCAGGAAUGAAGGGGCAUGCGUCACGGGACAUCUGCCGCGGGCGCGUGGCCCCCGUUUGUGCCCCAAAGAGCACCGACUGAAGAGAAGGGUCCUUUGAGACAAAGAAAAAGUAUGACGUACCGGCAGCUGCCGCUCACGGUGACGUAGGGCCCCCUCUGUCUACCACCGAUCA
This is a long non-coding RNA of Bombus terrestris (buff-tailed bumblebee), 1136 nucleotides long. RefSeq lists it as uncharacterized. Lineage: Eukaryota; Metazoa; Arthropoda; Insecta; Hymenoptera; Apidae. The record is from RefSeq and is a predicted model, not a curated record. The transcript is spliced from 4 exons.